This 511-nucleotide ribosomal RNA is filed under the name uncultured bacterium. Its description in RNAcentral is "partial 16S ribosomal RNA". It matches the Rfam family "Bacterial small subunit ribosomal RNA", at positions 28 to 523 of the family's 1533-position model. The record is from RNAcentral.
GACGAACGCUGGCGGCGUGCCUAAUACAUGCAAGUAGAACGCUGAAGGAGGAGCUUACUUCUCUGGAUGAGUUGCGAACGGGUGAGUAACGCGUAGGUAACCUGCUUGGUAGCGGGGGAUAACUAUUGGAAACGAUAGAUAAUACCGCAUAAGAGUAGAUGUUGCAUGACACUUACUUAAAAGGUGCAAUUGCACCACUACCAGAUGGACCUGCGUUGUAUUAGCUAGUUGGUGGGGUAACGGCUUACCAAGGCGACGAUACAUAGCCGACCUGAGAGGGUGAUCGGCCACACUGGGACUGAGACACUGCCCAGGCUCCUACGGGAGGCAGCAGUAGGGAAUCGUCGGCAAUGGACGGAAGUCUGACCGAGCAACGACGCGUGAGUGAAGAAGGUUUUCGGAUCGUAAAGCUCUGUUGUAAGAGAAGAACGAGUGUGAGAGUGGAAAGUUCACACUGUGGCGGUAUCUUACCAGAAAGGGACGGCUAACUACGUGCCAGCCGCCGCGGUAA